UGAAACCUUACUCUUUUUCUCUCUUUCUGUUGGUGUAAAAAAUGAGAGCCGAAGCUCUCAUUUUAUAGGCAAAACAUUGCCAACUUAAUUUGACAUUACAAUAUUUGCUACCUACUUUCUUUGACAGACAAAGAAAAAACGUGGGCUGCUGCCUAUAUUGAAAAUGAAGAAGCAAGGAAGAAGCUUUCUUCCUUAAUAAGUGGGUUGGACCCCACAUAAGCAAGAUUUAAGAAGAUAUUUUCGCGCUCUUGGCAAGAUUUUACGUGGAUAAAAGCAAGAUUUAGAAGAAGAGUAACAGAUAUUUAUUUUGAAUGUCUUAACUAUUGUUGAUACUGCUCAUUUUCAUUGUGUCCUUGAGCGGAGAGUAUUCGGAACAGUGUCUCUUACCUUCACAGAGCAAGAGUAGGGUUUACGUACAUAUUACAUUUGUUAGACUCCACUCGUGGGACUAUAUACUGGCAGUGGCGAAGCCACAUAUUCAUAAGGGUUUUUCGAAUAAUUGGCACUGUGUACAUAGGUAAAAUAUUAUAUUUUAGAGGUAUAUAACACAUAUUGAACAUCAUUUGUCGAAUAUUUUUGUUUACUUGUUUUAAAUUUGAACAUCCUUAAAUAUAUU
RNAcentral lists this long non-coding RNA (616 nucleotides) under Nicotiana benthamiana. RNAcentral's name for it is "long non-coding RNA (NBEN_LNC026756)". Lineage: Eukaryota; Viridiplantae; Streptophyta; Magnoliopsida; Solanales; Solanaceae. The record is from RNAcentral.